AUUCGAUUUAAAAAAAAUACACGAACAAAUUCAAUUUAAUAUGAAAUACAUAUGGAACUUUACCGAUGAAAGAAAUAACAUUUUUGCUAUGCCAAUAAAAGGAAUUCUAUACCUGAGUCGGUAGCACGUAAAGUAAGGGCGCACAUUACUGUAAAAGGAUUUCAGAUACAUACGUAGAGAAAACGUUUUAUUACAGUUUUCAUCCGCAGAUUAGCCCCUUUGGAACCAUCGAUACUCAAUUCAGAACUUUAUUGCCCUCCAUAAAAGUAUCUAUUUGGUGUUUUCGGCUGGACCGACUGGACCAAGCAAUUCGAACAAAAAGGGUCCAAUUACGUACGGAUUGCCGACCAGCAUCGUACGCACACACAAUUCCAAAGACGUUGCGCAUCCCUUUCUUUUCCUUUUUAUCUUGAUUUCUAUCGUUCAUCGUGAAACAUGCCUAAAUAUAAUAUACACUACUCUUAAGGUUAUAUUUGUAUGUGUCCAUGAAAAAGCAUUUUUUGACUUCGUUGUGAACUUUAUCCUUGAAUACGUUGAGAUUUUUAGUUUAUACCAUUUCAGACGAUUUUCAGUUCUAUGUCGUAAAUCAUAGCUAGUAGGAAAAAAGGUUAUAUAUCGCGAUUAUCA
Molecule: long non-coding RNA, 627 nt
Organism: Apis dorsata (giant honeybee)
Lineage: Eukaryota; Metazoa; Arthropoda; Insecta; Hymenoptera; Apidae
Exons: 3
Source: RefSeq, a predicted model, not a curated record